CCCUUAGAUGUUCUGGGCUGCACGCGCGCUACACUGAUGUGUCCAGUAAGCACCUAACCUAUUCCGAGAGGAGCGGGUAACCUUAGCAAAGCACAUCGUGAUGGGGAUAGAUUAUUGCAAUUAUUAGUCUUGAACGAGGAAUUCCUAGUAAGCACAAGUCAUCAGCUUGUGUUGAUUACGUCCCUGCCCUUUGUACACACCGCCCGUCGCUCCUACCGAUUGAAUGUUCCGGUGAGCUCUUCGGACUGCGCGGUCUGCAGUUUCUGCGUUCCGUGCGGAAAGUUGUGCAAACCUUAACAUUUAGAGGAAGGAGAAGUCGUAACA
This 324-nucleotide ribosomal RNA is filed under the name uncultured eukaryote. RNAcentral's name for it is "partial 18S ribosomal RNA". It matches the Rfam family "Eukaryotic small subunit ribosomal RNA", at positions 1470 to 1796 of the family's 1831-position model. The record is from RNAcentral.